AUCAAACGACAUUGCGAAUCCUUUCUCAUAGUCGAAUGUAAUCACUCGAGUUUUUGCUCUCGCAAUCGCGAGAGCCUCGGUUCGAGCACGAGAGAAAUGCACUCGUCGCGGUGUACAAUCGUGAAGAAGAUUUUUACAUUUUCUUCGAUAAUAAGAUUGUAGUUAACCCGUAGACACCGCACGGUGCAAAUUUACGCACAGGACAAUUUCGAGUGUCCGGAACUUGAAAAUUCCUUUCUUCAAUUUUCGACCAUUUUUCUAUAAUAAAACUCGAUUUAUCAAUUUUUCGUUUGCUGAGGAAUUGGUACCCCUAAAAAGUCUCGUUGUAAGAUAAAUUCCACACAUUCGUGGACGAAAUAAAAACGUUUUGAAAAGUCCAAAUGCAAAUUUGCACCGGCGCGAUGACCGUGUGACCUCAAAGGGAGUGUCGUGUCUACGGGUUGAAAAGAAUUUCUGAAACUGUGCUGGGUGUGUCCGGAUACAGAAGUGUCGUUACAAAACCUAAAAUCGUGAGUGUCGCGACGUUCUGAUUAUUCUCCACCGGAGCACGCCAGCAGGCCGAGUUCCGAUUCCUUAUUUCGCACAUCCAAUUACUGAUAGAAAUAUUAAAAAAUGGAAGUUUGCCAAACGUUGACAUCGGUGAAUCGACGCAUCGAUUGCUCCGCAAUACGAUUAACGAAUCAUUGCGAAUCGGGUUGAUCGAACAAAAACAGAGAUUGUCACCGUUCGUUAUGAUAAUUAAGGCAAACGUAUAUUUUCGACGAGAAAUCUAUAGCCGGAUGGAAGCUGCAGGAAUAUAAGUGUACAACAGGCAAAGUCGUAAUAUAUUCCAGCCAGGAAUCGAAGCUAGAUGCGCCGAGGAAUUAACAACGUUAUCGUCAUUGUAGUUUCUAGCACAUCGCGCGGAUGGAUUGGAACACGGUGUGUCGAAGCGAUGGAAAAGCUUCGGGAUUCCGGGAGUCAGAGGGAGAGAGGGCGCUCGCGGUUCCGUCGAUGCAAAGGAAUAAGCUCGACGCGCAUCCAUACGGCUUUCCAUCUACCCUUCGAAAUGAUGGCCCAACCAAGAGACAAAGGAAUGUAGAUUGCAGGGACGCGGAUUAACGAGGAUUAACACUAAUUGGUCGGGAGCGGGUUUUGGCGCAUCCGCGAGACGACAAGCUGGUUGCCGGUUGCCGGGGGGAGUCGAGGAGGCCCGUGCGGACGGAUCUCUCGUUCCAGGCGAGUGGAUUCAGGUGGUUUGACUCAGGGCUUGACGAUCCUCGCUGUGUAGCCAAGCCAGGCCUCUCUCAGCCUCGCACUUAUUCCGAGUCAACAGGAAUUCUCGUCGUUAUCGAAAUACGCUAUUGGAUUAACGGGUUAUGCCACUUUCUCGUAACUCGGUUUCCCAUAUCCUGAGGAGGAAUAUCGAAAGGAGUGUAAUCAGCCCUGAGAUGGAGUAUUCGUUGUAAUUCGUUCCUGAUCGAUUGGCUUGUGUCCGAUCGAUCUUCCAUUCGGUACCUGCGAAAUGGAGUGCUUUGGGGGAAAAAGCGAAAAUAUUGACUGUGCAAUGCCAAUCGUUUCACUGCGCCAUCCAAAUUCAUUUUUUCACAAAUACUUCAAAGAUUCCUCGCUUCCCGGUGGUUAACUUUUCUUCUAAAAAGUGCUGCGACGGAACAAAGGAACUCGGCGUUGUAUUGAGCGAUGCUGAGCGUCCUGACUUUUGCUGAUGAUCUUCCAUGACGUUGAAACGAGUUUUUGGGGGAGAUUGAACAUCGAAUGGUAAACAUGCCUCCUCAUAUGGACACUUGUGGUUUAAAAUAAUUCUUUAAUUGAGGGAUAAUUGUAUAUUUUCGAUGGGAAUACGUGCCAAACGAAUAAAGGAUGCUUCGCAUUGCGGAUAUA
Long non-coding RNA from Venturia canescens, 1881 nucleotides. RefSeq lists it as uncharacterized. Lineage: Eukaryota; Metazoa; Arthropoda; Insecta; Hymenoptera; Ichneumonidae. The transcript has 2 exons. The record is from RefSeq and is a predicted model, not a curated record.